AGAGCUCAAGAAGCUCACUCAAUUGCACAAGCUCGAAGUGACCGGCAUCAACAAGAAAAACAGCAAAGAGUUCUGUUCCACCAUCUCAGACCACGUUCAUUUGGAAUCCUUAUCAGUUUGGCUCUGCAUGGGCAAUAACAAACCAUGUUUGAAUGACAUGUUCUGGCCUCCGCAGAAACAUCUGGAAAAACUUCAGAGCCUUAAACUAUAUGGUCUUGCAAAAGUGGUGCCACCAUGGAUCAAAGAUCUUGCUAAACUCACAAAGUUACAUGUGAAUAUGGCCAUAUAAAAAAUGUUAACAUAAGUGAAGUUCUUGGGGAAAUAAAAGGACUAUGUAUUCUGCGUCUUGAUAUCAGGCCACUUGAAAAUGGUGAUGGUGACCUUAACUUCUGUGUCAAGGUGAAUGGAGUAGAGCAGCAGUUAUUUGAACGUCAGGAUACUUGAGAUUGCUUGUAACUCUGAGUUAAAUGUAUCCUUUGGAUCAUUAGCAAUGGAAAAUCUGCUGACAGCUAAAUGCUGUGGGUCGGCAGUGAAGUUUGCUGAGCUAAAGAGUCUCUCUAAAGGAAAACUCCAGGAGGUGCGGUAUUUGGGUUCCUUUAACAAAACAGAUAAGGUGGACGUGGAGAAUCAACUUAGCCAGCAUCCUAAGACACCUGCUUUGAAACUGGAGGAACCAUGUUUGUCCUGAUGCAUACUGACAAUCGGUCUGCUGCUUGCUGAUUCUGGCACCAGAGCAGGACCAGGACUAAAUGACUGGUGUUUUUCAUUUAAACCUUCCCGAUUCAUUUACCUACACUCUAGGCAUUUGAACUAAAACAUCUGCGUCCAUGGCAGUGUAAAGAUAAUUGUUGCUUCUCGAUGUCAAAAUCUACUUGGAGAAAACUAAGGGGUGAACAUAUAUAGCAAAAAUGCUGAAUUGACUCGAGUGUGUUUACUCUGUACUGCAAAAGUUUUAUGCAUCUGUGGUAUAUAAUGGACGUGUGCAUUGACACUGUAAUUCAAUUAUCUUAUUUUAAUUUCAUGCUUGCUGUCCCCUGAUUCCUUGCGUGAUAUUCUGUAGAUGUCGUCUCUCAUAGUUUCUUAUUACUGGUUCAUGUUAAUUCCAGGUCUCAUGGAGUUGAUAUGUCGAUGUGCCUAAAGUUUUGACCAAUUGUAGGAACCGAUCUUUCUCCAUUAGAGUACACGAUCUCUUGUGCUAGGUGCUAUGCACAUCUGAUUUGUGCUAGUCCAUCAAAACGUGCUCCUGCACAGGCAAGUAAUCCUAAGCGACAAGGAUAAAUGUGAUACCCAUAGCUAACCAGAAUUGCAUAUCUUUUUUUUACAUUUGUUCUUAUUUUAAUACUUUCUCAUCUUUGUCUGGUUGUAAUAGAGUUUAGCACCAACUAAAUAUAUGCUUUCCUAUGCCCAUUCAUAGUUUUUCACUUUUCUAUCACACAUCGAUGCGUGUGUGACAUAUGUUUAGUUCAGACUUACGUUACAUCCAUUGCUUCAUACAUACAAGUAUACAUGGUGUAACAAAGAUCAUAAAUCUAUGUGUUGAGUUGGGCCUUGUUUAGAUGCGAAAACUUUUUGGAUUUCACUACUGUAGCACUUUUGUUUGUUUGUUUGUGACAAAUAUUGUCCAAUCAUAGACUAACUAGGGUUAAAAGAUUCGUCUCGCGAUUUACAGUCAAACUGUGUAAUUAGUUUUUGUUUUUGUCUAUAUUUAAUACUUUAUGCAUGUGUUGCAAGAUUCGAUGUGACGGAGAAUCUUGAAAACAUUUUGGUUUUUGGGGUGAACUAAACAAGGCCUUAGUUUUUUCCCCCUAUAUUAAUAAUGGCUGAAGAUGGCAAGUAGGAAAAACAAUUACUUGGGGACAUUAUCUUUAAAAUGACGAGGCAGGCAUUUAGAUCCAUAUGUCUUCCUUUAUUUAAUUUAUUUUUACUAAUGGUGGAAGCCAGUGACUUGUAUGAGAAUUUAGAAGACUACUAUAGAUUAUUUUUCAUAAUUUUAUAAUGUUAGGAACAUUAGGGGCACCAUAUAUUGACCAAUGCCCAUGACAAAAAUCUGAAUUUUAAAGUGCACCAUAUAUGAAAUCAUAUGUGGCACAGAGGCUGUUUGGACCUAGAAGUCUUGGGUUUCUUUAGUAAACUUUAAUUUUCCAAGGACAAGGCUAUCUAAAAAUUCCCAUCUCACUGGCCCAGUAAACUGCAAGCAAUGUUUCUCAGAGAAGCAACACGCAAGGUUACAAGUUAAGCAUCAACAAGUAAACUAGAUCUAGAAUAAAUAACAGACCCUCUUGUCUACGAAGCACGAAACAGAGGAACAACUUCCAAUCCGCAAAUCCCAUCUCCUGUACCCUCCCCUGCUUGCUUUGUAAAAGGGAAAAAAAGAGCAAGAAUUUAGUAUACCUUGGGCCAGAAGGACGUACUGGGGCAACAGGAAGAUGCGAUGCGACGCGACGUGCAGGUGUGGACGCCCUUCCGCCUCUUGAAGCUCAAUCUGCUAGUCUGCUACCGGAUUCCGUGGACAGGGGCUGCAGUGUCAUGGCUUAGUUGUGCUCGGCGGCUGUGGGGAUUCCGUGGAGUAGCGAGAGCGGAAUCUGGGGAGGGUGUUGAGCACCGUUGGCGGACGCUGGGACUGGGAAUUGGGGAACGCCGGCCGGCGGCGGGGCCCUGUAUUGCCUGGCCUGCGCAGCAACUCCAGCAACGCUGAAAGCGCACGAGCUAACCAAUUUCUCAAAGCAAACAACAGCCCGUUGAGGCUCGUGGUGAUGGUACUCGAGUUUAACUCUAGACAACUAUGAGGAAGAUGGUUUUUCAUGUAUGCCAUUAACCAAGAUGGUCCCUUACUCCAUACCAUUAAAAAGUUAGAACCGGCCAAA
Molecule: long non-coding RNA, 2864 nt
Filed under: Sorghum bicolor (sorghum)
Lineage: Eukaryota; Viridiplantae; Streptophyta; Magnoliopsida; Poales; Poaceae
Description: long non-coding RNA (SBIC_LNC007998)
Source: RNAcentral